AUUGAACGCUGGCGGCAUGCUUUACACAUGCAAGUCGAACGGCAGCGCGGGCUUCGGCCUGGCCGCGCGUGGCGAACGGGUGAGUAAUAAAUCGGAACGUGCCCUGCAGUGGGGGAUAGCACGGCGACAGCCGGCUUAAUCCCGCACACGACCUGAUGGUGAAAGCGGGGGAUCUUCGGAGCUCGCGGUAUUUGCGCGGCCGAUGGCAGAUUAGCUAGUUGGUGAGGUAAAGGCGUACCAAGGCGACGAUCUGUAGCUGGUCUGAGAGGACGACCAGCCACACUGGAACUGAGACACGGCCCAGACUCCUACGGGAGGCAGCAGUAGGGAAUUUUCGACAAUGGGCGAAAGCCUGACGCAGCAACGCCGCGUGAGUGAUGAAGGUCUUCGGAUCGUAAAGCUCUGUUAGUGGGGAAGAACAGAAGUGUACGAAUCUAUGCAUGUCUUGACGGUACCUGAACAGAAAGCCACGGCUAACUACGUG
RNAcentral lists this ribosomal RNA (484 nucleotides) under uncultured bacterium. RNAcentral describes it as "partial 16S ribosomal RNA". It matches the Rfam family "Bacterial small subunit ribosomal RNA", at positions 30 to 507 of the family's 1533-position model. The record is from RNAcentral.